RNAcentral lists this ribosomal RNA (486 nucleotides) under uncultured bacterium. RNAcentral describes it as "partial 16S ribosomal RNA". It matches the Rfam family "Bacterial small subunit ribosomal RNA", at positions 30 to 507 of the family's 1533-position model. The record is from RNAcentral.
AUUGAACGCUGGCGGCAUGCCUUACACAUGCAAGUCGAACGGCGGCACGGGUGCUUGCACCUGGUGGCGAGUGGCGAACGGGUGAGUAAUACAUCGGAACAUGUCCUGUAGUGGGGGAUAGCCCGGCGAAAGCCGGAUUAAUACCGCAUACGAUCUACGGAUGAAAGCGGGGGACCUUCGGGCCUCGCGCUAUAGGGUUGGCCGAUGGCUGAUUAGCUAGUUGGUGGGGUAAAGGCCUACCAAGGCGACGAUCAGUAGCUGGUCUGAGAGGACGACCAGCCACACUGGGACUGAGACACGGCCCAGACUCCUACGGGAGGCAGCAGUGGGGAAUUUUGGACAAUGGGCGAAAGCCUGAUCCAGCAAUGCCGCGUGUGUGAAGAAGGCCUUCGGGUUGUAAAGCACUUUUGUCCGGAAAGAAAUCCUUGGCUCUAAUACAGUCGGGGGAUGACGGUACCGGAAGAAUAAGCACCGGCUAACUACGUG